This is a long non-coding RNA of Lucilia cuprina (Australian sheep blowfly), 1864 nucleotides long. RefSeq lists it as uncharacterized. The transcript is spliced from 4 exons. The record is from RefSeq and is a predicted model, not a curated record. NCBI's taxonomy places the organism in Eukaryota, Metazoa, Arthropoda, Insecta, Diptera, Calliphoridae.
AACAACAAGAAUCACAUCAACCACAUAAAACAAAGUUUUAACUAAAAUAAUACAAAUUGAAACAAAAAUUACAAAGAAUCAAUACAAUAAUUAUAACAAAUACUAGUUCUUCUAAAAAAUUAAAACGAGACAGCCUAAGAUGACCACACACAAUCAACAAAAAAAUGUAAACAACAGAAAAUUUUCUGUUCAUGGAGCCCAUCAACCUCAACAUCUUUAAGAUCGUAUUUCAACAUUUCGCCAAAUCAUAACAUUUGGUCCCAUAAGUAAUUUAAUGCCAUGUUUAAUCAUGAAGUCUGCACCAAUGAUAACCUGGUCCAUGAUAUCGGGAACAAUAAAUACAUGAUAUACGCUUAAGCUUGCAAUGGUUAAUUUCGCAUUUAAUUCACCAUGGACAGUGGCAUGUUAUAAAUAACUUAAUUUGGUUUAUAAACAAGUGCACGUUGGUAACACUUGAUUCAAAAUGAUUGGAAAAUACAAGUGAGUACACACCUGUGCCCAAAACAGCCACCCCACACACUUAUAUGCCAUCUUGCGAUACUUGCAUGCACCGAAAAUCUCGAGUAGCUCCGGUCAUCAAGGAGAGAAUUGAACCAACUGCUCAUCUUCAGAAAAUAGUUUCCAGCUUUCGCAUUUCGACAAAAUAGUUUGCACGAUAUCAUCCAUAGCAAUCAACAAUAGCCUGGAGUAUAAAUUUCAUCAAAGACAUCUAUAAUCAACAACAGCCUGGAGUAUAAAUUUCAUCAAAGACACCUAUAAUCAGCAAUAGUAUUAGAAAUUGUCAUCAUCACAAAAAUCAUCCCUAGCCAUCAACAAUAUCCAAGACAACAUCCCAGAUAAGUACUUGUUAAGUAGCUUGAAGUUUGUUUUUUCCUUGCCUUAUUAUGUGGCGCCUAAAACAAAUCCACCAAUUUCAACGUAAAUUUUAGUAUUUUUUUUUAAUUUUUUUUACUAUAACCAAAAAAAAUCAAGUUCUGUUUUAAUGUCUGUUUUAAUAGAUAGUGAGUCUGUCCGCGAUCCAAUGUACUCAUUGAUAUGGAGAGGAUCCAUGCCAAUGGUAUAGCAGGGAACUGGCAAUGUAGCUGAGGCACCCUUAGCGAGUUUUCACUAAAGCUCAGCUCGAUUUGGAGCUUUUUUUUCUUUUCGGUCCACAACAUUAUCAAAAUUAAGAGUCAAAAAUAUAUAAUUCAGGACAAAAUUUGUAAAACCAUUCGAUUCAGUUUCUCAUUAAAAUAAUUUUCGGCACUUCGACACCCAUCCAAAUUUGAAUUAGAAUUAUUAACAACAAUUAGAAACAUUUCGGCCUAAAUUUAAAUUUUCCCACUAAUUAUUUUUAAGAUAUUCAUAGUUUUUAAUAUAAGAUUUCAAAUAGUAUAUUAAUUCGCCAUCUGGCUUAAGUUAAAUAUCUGUGAAACAACCAUAAUCAAAUUUGAAUAUAUUGAACAUUUAAGUCAACUUUAAUAUGACUUCUAUUUAAACAGGCUAUAGAUGUAGGUAUCGAGAUGUGAUUUCGUGAAUGGGUUAGUUUCACAGAUUUGAAGAACUACCAUGGUUUAGGGGAGGGUUUAUAUAUAUAGGCAAUAACACCAGGAUCUACAAGUAAGAGUCUGCGAAAUUAACAUGCACUGGUACAAUAGUAUUAUGUUGUCCUGUUUUUGCUAUCGCUACAACGUACCACCGCCCAUGCCCGACGAGCAUUCGCCGUGCACAUCUGAAAAGUUACCAGUGUGGUAGCGAUAGGAAAAACAACACUAAGAGUAGGAUGGAUGAAAUGUUUAGUCUGGUAAUUCCUUGGUCAUUCAGGAUACUUGAAUUGAAAAUAUUUACUUAGUGAAACGUGACAGAUAAGAAAUGGCGCCCAACG